Molecule: non-coding RNA, 1170 nt
Organism: Peromyscus maniculatus bairdii (prairie deer mouse)
Lineage: Eukaryota; Metazoa; Chordata; Mammalia; Rodentia; Cricetidae
Source: RefSeq, a predicted model, not a curated record
ACCACUGGGCCCUGCUUGAGUUGUUGAAAUAACUUGGAGCAUAGAUCUAAACUGGGAUUAUAACAAGCAAAUGGAGAAACCAUCCAGUUGACGCUUUGGUUGCAUAAUGGAGGUACCCAUCUGCCCAUCACCUGCUCAGAUACGCUGCUACAGGGAGACGCGAACAGCCAACCCCCACUUUCUUGAAGUGACAGAGGGCAGAGAAGAAGGGAAGCCUGAACGGCUCAAGUCCAGUGGCUGAAGAAACAACAUAGAAGAGCAAAGAAUGAAGCUGUCACCUUUCAGGACAGUAAACUAGAUAGAAACGCAGAGAUUUUGACGUCACUUGCUGCUACCUUUCUUCGAAAGAAAGAGCAUGGAGAAAGACUGAGACUAUUAAAGUAACUGGAGCCUACAAAGCAGAGCGUCUCAUCUGGAUUCCCAAGAAGUGCACAGGUUUUCCGUGAACUGGCUCAAUGAUGCUCAGACACGGGUCAGUGUGGGGUGGUGCUGUGGUGUUAAGGAGAACGGGUAUCUCAGAGUGGAGAGGAGGCUGUUAGAAGAGUGUCAUACUUUGGAAACAUUUGUUUAGUCAGGGCAUCACUUUCUCUCUGAAGAGUUGGGAAGAGAUGUGUAUUUUUGUAUGGAGGAGGGCCAGAGAAAGAAGAACGGAAAGAGAGUGAGUGGAUAAGGAUACAGAAAGUGCCGUGGAGAAUGUCUGCUACCUUGCAUUCAGCCACUGAUGUUCUGCUAAAAGCACACGGCUUAUGAGCACAUUUAAAAUGUGGUUGUCCCUCUCGUCCCGAGUACCUAUCCCCUGUUGGAAUAUUUCCUGGGCUCCGUCCUAACACGCAGGGCAUUUUCAUGCCCCUGGCUCUGCUCACGGCCUCUGCCGCACCUCCUCCUCUCUGACAAGCUUUUAUAUUCCUACAGUAACAAAGGUGGCGGUAACUUUCCCAUGAGAUGAUUCAGCUGUUGUAAGAGGAUUUGGCUCUCUUGCACUUGGAGAAGUCCACAUAAUUCAUCUAAAUCCGCUUAGAUUUCCCUUUUAGGCUAUUGCCCUGUUCCACCAGGCAGAAAAGAAUGUGACCUUUGUCCGCAGGAGAGCCACAAGCAAGGGACGCAGUGGCAACUUCCGCUGGCAAGUGGGCUCCUGUCCGCUUAGGGGGAAAUACGGGACAGCCUCGCAGA